UGGGGUAUCGCCAAGCGGUAAGGCACCGGUUUUUGAUACCGGCAUUCCCUGGUUCGAAUCCAGGUACCCCAGCCU
Molecule: transfer RNA, 75 nt
Filed under: Citrobacter freundii
Lineage: Bacteria; Pseudomonadati; Pseudomonadota; Gammaproteobacteria; Enterobacterales; Enterobacteriaceae
Also listed under: 2 other names
Description: tRNA-Gln
Rfam family: tRNA
About the family: Transfer RNA (tRNA) molecules are approximately 80 nucleotides in length. Their secondary structure includes four short double-helical elements and three loops (D, anti-codon, and T loops). Further hydrogen bonds mediate the characteristic L-shaped molecular structure. tRNAs have two regions of fundamental functional importance: the anti-codon, which is responsible for specific mRNA codon recognition, and the 3' end, to which the tRNAs corresponding amino acid is attached (by aminoacyl-tRNA synthetases). tRNAs cope with the degeneracy of the genetic code in two manners: having more than one tRNA (with a specific anti-codon) for a particular amino acid; and 'wobble' base-pairing, i.e. permitting non-standard base-pairing at the 3rd anti-codon position.
Source: RNAcentral